GGUUAAGCGACUAAGCGUACACGGUGGAUGCCCUGGCAGUCAGAGGCGAUGAAGGACGUGCUAAUCUGCGAUAAGCGUCGGUAAGGUGAUAUGAACCGUUAUAACCGGCGAUUUCCGAAUGGGGAAACCCAGUGUGAUUCGUCACACUAUCAUUAACUGAAUCCAUAGGUUAAUGAGGCGAACCGGGGAACUGAAACAUCUAAGUACCCCGAGGAAAAGAAAUCAACCGAGAUUCCCCAGUAGCGGCGAGCGAACGGGGAGCAGCCCAGAGCCUGAAUCAGUGUGUGUGUUAGUGGAAGCGUCUGGAAAGGCGCGCGAUACAGGGUGACAGCCCCGUACACAAAAAUGCACAUGCUGUGAGCUCGAUGAGUAGGGCGGGACACGUGGUAUCCUGUCUGAAUAUGGGGGACCAUCCUCCAAGGCUAAAUACUCCUGACUGACCGAUAGUGAACCAGUACCGUGAGGGAAAGGCGAAAAGAACCCCGGCGAGGGAGUGAAAAAGAACCUGAAACCGUGUACGUACAAGCAGUGGGAGCACGCUUAGGCGUGUGACUGCGUACCUUUUGUAUAAUGGGUCAGCGACUUAUAUUCUGUAGCAAGGUUAACCGAAUAGGGGAGCCGAAGUGUGACUGCGUACCUUUUGUAUAAUGGGUCAGCGACUUAUAUUCUGUAGCAAGGUUAACCGAAUAGGGGAGCCGAAGGGAAACCGAGUCUUAACUGGGCGUUAAGUUGCAGGGUAUAGACCCGAAACCCGGUGAUCUAGCCAUGGGCAGGUUGAAGGUUGGGUAACACUAACUGGAGGACCGAACCGACUAAUGUUGAAAAAUUAGCGGAUGACUUGUGGCUGGGGGUGAAAGGCCAAUCAAACCGGGAGAUAGCUGGUUCUCCCCGAAAGCUAUUUAGGUAGCGCCUCGUGAAUUCAUCUCCGGGGGUAGAGCACUGUUUCGGCAAGGGGGUCAUCCCGACUUACCAACCCGAUGCAAACUGCGAAUACCGGAGAAUGUUAUCACGGGAGACACACGGCGGGUGCUAACGUCCGUCGUGAAGAGGGAAACAACCCAGACCGCCAGCUAAGGUCCCAAAGUCAUGGUUAAGUGGGAAACGAUGUGGGAAGGCCCAGACAGCCAGGAUGUUGGCUUAGAAGCAGCCAUCAUUUAAAGAAAGCGUAAUAGCUCACUGGUCGAGUCGGCCUGCGCGGAAGAUGUAACGGGGCUAAACCAUGCACCGAAGCUGCGGCAGCGACGCUGAUGCGUUGUUGGGUAGGGGAGCGUUCUGUAAGCCUGCGAAGGUGUGCUGUGAGGCAUGCUGGAGGUAUCAGAAGUGCGAAUGCUGACAUAAGUAACGAUAAAGCGGGUGAAAAGCCCGCUCGCCGGAAGACCAAGGGUUCCUGUCCAACGUUAAUCGGGGCAGGGUGAGUCGACCCCUAAGGCGAGGCCGAAAGGCGUAGUCGAUGGGAAACAGGUUAAUAUUCCUGUACUUGGUGUUACUGCGAAGGGGGGACGGAGAAGGCUAUGUUGGCCGGGCGACGGUUGUCCCGGUUUAAGCGUGUAGGCUGGUUUUCCAGGCAAAUCCGGAAAAUCAAGGCUGAGGCGUGAUGACGAGGCACUACGGUGCUGAAGCAACAAAUGCCCUGCUUCCAGGAAAAGCCUCUAAGCAUCAGGUAACAUCAAAUCGUACCCCAAACCGACACAGGUGGUCAGGUAGAGAAUACCAAGGCGCUUGAGAGAACUCGGGUGAAGGAACUAGGCAAAAUGGUGCCGUAACUUCGGGAGAAGGCACGCUGAUAUGUAGGUGAAGUCCCUCGCGGAUGGAGCUGAAAUCAGUCGAAGAUACCAGCUGGCUGCAACUGUUUAUUAAAAACACAGCACUGUGCAAACACGAAAGUGGACGUAUACGGUGUGACGCCUGCCCGGUGCCGGAAGGUUAAUUGAUGGGGUUAGCGCAAGCGAAGCUCUUGAUCGAAGCCCCGGUAAACGGCGGCCGUAACUAUAACGGUCCUAAGGUAGCGAAAUUCCUUGUCGGGUAAGUUCCGACCUGCACGAAUGGCGUAAUGAUGGCCAGGCUGUCUCCACCCGAGACUCAGUGAAAUUGAACUCGCUGUGAAGAUGCAGUGUACCCGCGGCAAGACGGAAAGACCCCGUGAACCUUUACUAUAGCUUGACACUGAACAUUGAGCCUUGAUGUGUAGGAUAGGUGGGAGGCUUUGAAGUGUGGACGCCAGUCUGCAUGGAGCCGACCUUGAAAUACCACCCUUUAAUGUUUGAUGUUCUAACGUUGACCCGUAAUCCGGGUUGCGGACAGUGUCUGGUGGGUAGUUUGACUGGGGCGGUCUCCUCCUAAAGAGUAACGGAGGAGCACGAAGGUUGGCUAAUCCUGGUCGGACAUCAGGAGGUUAGUGCAAUGGCAUAAGCCAGCUUGACUGCGAGCGUGACGGCGCGAGCAGGUGCGAAAGCAGGUCAUAGUGAUCCGGUGGUUCUGAAUGGAAGGGCCAUCGCUCAACGGAUAAAAGGUACUCCGGGGAUAACAGGCUGAUACCGCCCAAGAGUUCAUAUCGACGGCGGUGUUUGGCACCUCGAUGUCGGCUCAUCACAUCCUGGGGCUGAAGUAGGUCCCAAGGGUAUGGCUGUUCGCCAUUUAAAGUGGUACGCGAGCUGGGUUUAGAACGUCGUGAGACAGUUCGGUCCCUAUCUGCCGUGGGCGCUGGAGAAAUUGAGGGGCUGCUCCUAGUACGAGAGGACCGGAGUGGACGCAUCACUGGUGUUCGGGUUGUCAUGCCAAUGGCACUUGAGGGGGGCUGCUCCUAGUACGAGAGGACCGGAGUGGACGCAUCACUGGUGUUCGGGUUGUCAUGCCAAUGGCACUGCCCGGUAGCUAAAUGCGGAAGAGAUAAGUGCUGAAAGCAUCUAAGCACGAAACUUGCCCCGAGAUGAGUUCUCCCUGACUCCUUGAGAGUCCUGAAGGAACGUUGAAGACGACGACGUUGAUAGGCCGGGUGUGUAAGCGCAGCGAUGCGUUGAGCUAACCGGUACUAAUGAACCGUGAGGCUUAACCUU
RNAcentral lists this ribosomal RNA (3053 nucleotides) under Escherichia coli. RNAcentral describes it as "23S ribosomal RNA". It matches the Rfam family "Bacterial large subunit ribosomal RNA". The record is from RNAcentral. Lineage: Bacteria; Pseudomonadati; Pseudomonadota; Gammaproteobacteria; Enterobacterales; Enterobacteriaceae.